AAAUGCGCGUCCGUCCAUCCGUCCCGUCUUGAAACACGGACCAAGGAGUCUAGCAUGUGCGCGAGUCACGGGGAGUUCUAACCCCCACGGCGAUAGUGAAAGCGACAAAGCUCCGUCUCCGCUUCAAAGCGGAGUCGGCAGCGUUGGGCCGAUCCGAUCAAUUAGCUGAUUGAUCGAAACGACGGCGGUCUGCUGCUUCUUCUUUGAAGGAGGAGAUCGCGAUGAUGAUGAUGAUGAUGAUAAUAAUAAUAAUACAAAAUCAGCUAGCGGUAAAAUUGUCCAUCGGCGCAGGCCCGGGGCUCGUCAUACGACUCGCUACCCGUCGAAGACCGUCGAAGCGAUUCCGGUGAAAUAGUAGUCAUAGGCGUAUCGCGCCGCUCCCCUUUUCUCGUUCUUCUUCCUC
RNAcentral lists this ribosomal RNA (403 nucleotides) under Cirolanides texensis. Its description in RNAcentral is "partial 28S ribosomal RNA". The record is from RNAcentral. Lineage: Eukaryota; Metazoa; Arthropoda; Malacostraca; Isopoda; Cirolanidae.